Molecule: ribosomal RNA, 279 nt
Filed under: uncultured bacterium
Lineage: Bacteria
Description: partial 16S ribosomal RNA
Rfam family: Bacterial small subunit ribosomal RNA
Source: RNAcentral
UGCCAGCCGCCGCGGUAAUACGGAAGGUCCUAGCGUCGUUCGGAAUUACUGGGCGUAAAGCGUACGUAGGCGGAUCAGAAAGUAUGGGGUGAAAUCCCAGGGCUCAACCCUGGAACUGCCUCAUAAACUCCUGGUCUUGAGUUCGAGAGAGGUGAGUGGAAUUCCAAGUGUAGAGGUGAAAUUCGUAGAUAUUUGGAGGAACACCAGUGGCGAAGGCGGCUCACUGGCUCGAUACUGACGCUGAGGUACGAAAGUGUGGGGAGCAAACAGGAUUAGAUA